CUUGCACACGCUCCUGCGCUUGACCGCGGUGCAGGCUGGGAACAGGAUGCUGUCAGGCCGAGUGGAAUAACGGCGACGAACCGCAGCAGCAUCCUUUGUUUUUCCUGGGCACAUAAAACAGCCGUGACUCCCAGUGAGACGUCGGAGCAUUUGGACGAGGGACAAAGCAGGACCCGGGACUCGGAGUACAGAAGGAGAUAAGCCCAUAUACAGGUGCAGAUCUGAGCUGCGGAGGAGAGAGUCCGUUUCUUUUGUGCCUUAUUCAAAAACAUCUUCCACUUUGCACUGGACGCUUCUAAAUAUUUACAAUUUAAAAUACUUAUACUUAUUAUAACAUAGGCCCCAUAAAUCAGACUUUAGUGUGUGUGUAAUAUAAAGGUCAAAAUAUAAAACUUCCCUAUUGACAAUUUCCUUUUUGUGAGUCUAUAAUAUCGUUUUAAAAAUCAAAAUCUACAUAUGAAAACAAGCUGUCCAAAUUUUUAGUGGCUCAUUUUUUA
Boleophthalmus pectinirostris (great blue-spotted mudskipper) is the source of this 497-nucleotide long non-coding RNA. RefSeq lists it as uncharacterized. NCBI's taxonomy places the organism in Eukaryota, Metazoa, Chordata, Actinopteri, Gobiiformes, Gobiidae. The record is from RefSeq and is a predicted model, not a curated record. The transcript is spliced from 3 exons.